UUAACAAAUGAUUGUGUUUAUUGAUGAGUUCAUACAUCAAUACAAAUGGACGAGUUAAAAACGGCCCCUGCCCCGUGAGACCUCGGGAGGAGGGAAGCGCCCAUGGCCUGAACAAAGUAUAAAAGUUAUAAAUAAGGAGGUUUUCAAAACUGGGUCAGGGCAAAUCUGUUCGGGGGGGGGGGCAGUUGCCGGUGGCCUCAGACAUGCAGAAGGGGACGGGCGCCGGCGGCCACAAGACCCCCUCUCCCACCUAAGCGCUCAGCUGAGGUAGGGAAAGGGCGGCCACCUUCUCACAAACCUUAGCGAUAGUGUUAGCUCCCUCCUCUGAAGGACUGGUUGGCUGAGGAUCUCCAAGAGCCCAGACCAGAGGGCCAGGCCUGGGGCUGAUCUGUGGCUGUUGUGCCGGUUGGGGGAGUGGUAGUAGACUUCUAACCCUCACAAGGGCAGCUGCAGCCCUGCCAGGGUCCACCCUCAGCUGCAGGGGUUCUUGGGGCCAGGACUUCUUUGCAGUGUGGCCAUGCAGGUGGUAGUAGUACAGAAGGGGGGUGGGGGUGGUGAACUAGGUUUCAUCUGUUCUGGUGCACUCUGGCUGAUGCAAACAAGAGCCGGGCACUCUACAAAAACCAACUUUCUAAGUUGCUGCCUAUUGAACCAGCAGGGCCCCAGGGCCUGUCCAUGGGAGAAUAGGUUGUUGUGGCCUGGAGCUUCAGGAAAGCUACACUGACUUACCUGAGGCAGAGGGAAGCAGCAGGGCCCAGAGACACGUGUUCUUCACCCCAAUUCCUCAACCACUGCUUCACUACUUGGUCCUACUCUACCUUAGCCCACUGUACCCUAUCUCCUUCCCCUCACCCCUAACAACUGCCCUUCUAAUUCUAAUCUACCCCCUGCCUUCUACUACGUACCUGUCCCACCUACCACCUUUCCAAUGUGUCUCUUGGCUCCUUCUGCACUCCCAUGUGCCUCCCCCUCCCCUCAACUUCCAGCAUCCAGAGCAUCUUGGGUGCCCAGCACUGCCUUUGAGGAGGCUCCUUCCACCUGAACCAGGAACCAACAAGCCAUCUCACAUCAGCUAGGUUGUGGACACCAAGAAUCCAGAAUUCAGGUUACUACAUUCCAGUCCUUUUUGUGCUCCUUGAUAGUUCCAUAUGAGCCAGGGUGGUGAAGCAGGAGUAGUACAUGAAGGGAAACCAGGCACACAUCAGCCAGCCAAGUACUUUAGCGAUAAACACUCAACGUGUGUGUGUGUGUGUGUGUGUGUGUGUGUGUGUGUACAGUUCUGUGGCUAAGGUCCUUAGAAGGUGGGCUGGUGCCCUGUAAACCAUGAGAGAAGUUCUAACACAGGCUUCUGACUGGGCAUCACUCAGGAUGCAAGGAGAAGGUGGCCUCUGGGUCUAGGAGCCUGCUGGGGACAAGGGUUGGGAGGAUAGAGAAGACCAAGGGGCUAAGAAGAGGAGGCCAGGGCUUUAUGUUUGCCCAGCAGAGGGCUUUACUGUCCUGCAGCAACAUCCCACAGCUGUCUCCACAACUUCUGGCCAGGAGAGAAAGGGGGCACAGGGAGAGAGAUAAUGCUAGGGCUCUCUUAGAGGGGGGAUGGGAGUGGAAUGUGGGGGCUCAGGCCUUGACACC
This 1629-nucleotide long non-coding RNA is filed under the name Lynx pardinus (Iberian lynx). The record is from RNAcentral. Lineage: Eukaryota; Metazoa; Chordata; Mammalia; Carnivora; Felidae.